UUGUAUAUUAAUUACGUCAGGUGAUCAUUCUGUCCUCGAUAUCACAACCCAGCCGAACCCGACAGAGAGCAGUGAAGGAUUGUGCGAUUCCCGUGAAGAUUGUAUAUUUGUCAUCCACGCGGAGACACCUACCAUCAUUGAGGACAACUCGGGCAGGGAAUAUUGACAACCUGUAGGUCAUGGCCAGUUCAGACCCGGACAGGGAAGCCCUGGGUGGUUCAGGCGAGGAAGAUCCUACGGUCCAUGGCGGUUCAGAUCUACACGAGGAGGAUCCUGGAAACCACUCGGCCAUUGCCAGGCUGACUGAUCGUGGACGUUUCUCUGAAGAUCAUUCGGCCAUUGCCACGCCAAAGGAGUCAGCCUUUCGUGUCCAAUCCAGGGCGUGGUGGUUCUGCCUCCGCUAUCAUUGUUUCCAACUCGAAGUACGUGAAUAUUUCCACUGGACAGACAGUUCCAGGACGGUCGGA
RNAcentral lists this long non-coding RNA (467 nucleotides) under Haliotis rubra (blacklip abalone). RNAcentral describes it as "uncharacterized LOC124269881, transcript variant X2". Lineage: Eukaryota; Metazoa; Mollusca; Gastropoda; Lepetellida; Haliotidae. The record is from RNAcentral.